UCACUUAAAAUCUUUACUAAAUUCUAGAUUUGGUUUUGAAGUUUGGUUCUACCUGUAGAAAACUUAUUUCCAACGGGAUAGCACAUCCUCAUUUUUACGGAGAUGUUGUUUACCGUGCCAUUGGAUGCUGGAUGUGUAAUGAUUGAUAAUUUAGUCUCAGAUGCAUUACUUUUUAUUAGUUGUAAUUGGCUUUGAACUAGCUGUCAGUAACUGCGAGUACUCUCAGAUCUGUACUGAGUGUCUUUUUUUUUAUGGGAUGUACAAGUACUCGGUCACGUCAACUCUCUGUUUUUGUUAGAUGUAUUUCUAUUUGUAUCCAUCUGAUGAGUUAAGCCUUUU
RNAcentral lists this long non-coding RNA (339 nucleotides) under Mytilus galloprovincialis (Mediterranean mussel). Lineage: Eukaryota; Metazoa; Mollusca; Bivalvia; Mytilida; Mytilidae. The record is from RNAcentral.